RNAcentral lists this small RNA (674 nucleotides) under Vigna angularis var. angularis. RNAcentral describes it as "Non-protein coding transcript". The record is from RNAcentral. Lineage: Eukaryota; Viridiplantae; Streptophyta; Magnoliopsida; Fabales; Fabaceae.
AACAAGCGGGCUGCCACUUUCCUAAUUUUUUAAAAUACCCAUUCCGUCCCUGAGUAAAUAGUAAAAACAAAAUCCUAAUUUCACAGGCCCAAUUUUUAACCUUGCGCUGCCGCAGCUCCCUUCCUCUCCUCUCCCGUUGUUGCUGGUGCUGCUUUGGUGCACCUCCAUUGUUAUUUUUUAGACGAAGGGUGUGGACCUCCCUCUUCCCACAGUGACCAUCUUUGUCUGCAUCAGUGAAGCGCUGAACUCUUGCACCCCUCUCCCUGUUUUCGUCGUGCUGCACGGUGUGUGUUGACAGAAGGUGGAGCGUGUUGAUUCAGAGGAACUACACCUCCUUCGUUUGAACUCGUUCGUUGCACAUCCUUCGUUGCUUCUCUUUUUAUCAAGGAAUUUGUGCAGGACCGAGAGACUAACCUUUCUGACGUGCCCUUCAUGCUUCCGAACUCUUGGAUCGUCUGAACCGCUCGCUGUCAGUCUGGAUCGCUCGCUUGUCAACUGCUCCGUUCGACCGUCGUUUGCUCCGCUCGGUUGUACUCUUGACUGAAGGGGGAGGUAUCUGCAAAAGGCACUUCGACGCUCAAGUUAGGAGCGGUGUAAUGAACUGUUUAACACAAUUGAGUAUUUGAAUCUCGUAGAGUGUGAGUUGAAUGUAAGUAGAACAUACCCGACUUUUG